Miniopterus natalensis is the source of this 489-nucleotide non-coding RNA. The record is from the annotation of a RefSeq genome assembly. Lineage: Eukaryota; Metazoa; Chordata; Mammalia; Chiroptera; Miniopteridae.
AUGGGGCUUGGGCUCAGCUGGAUUUUCCUUGUUGCUAUUUUAAGAGGUGUCCAGGGUGAGGUGCAGCUGGUGGAGUCUGGGGGAGCCGUGGUGAAGCCUGGGGGGUCUCUGAGACUCUCCUGUGCAGCCUCUGGAUUCACCUUCAGUAGUAAUGCCAUGAGCUGGGUCCGCCAGGCUCCAGGGAAGGGGCUGGAGUGGGUCUCAGCUAUUAGUAGUAGUGGAAGUAGCACAUACUAUGCAGACUCUGUGAAAGGCCGGUUCACCAUCUCCAGAGACAACGCCAAGAACACGCUGUAUCUGCAGAUGAAUAGCCUGAAAUCUGAGGACUCGGCCGUGUAUUACUGUGCAGCAGACACAGUGAGAGGAGGUCAAUUGGCUUCAGAAGAUGAGUUUGAUGAUGCCACUGUCCCAGGGGACCAGAGGACCUUCAGUUCCAACAUAAUUGAGGACUCAGGAGGUCCGGGCAGGCCCAUCAACCAGGAGAAAUGA